Molecule: ribosomal RNA, 492 nt
Filed under: uncultured bacterium
Lineage: Bacteria
Description: partial 16S ribosomal RNA
Rfam family: Bacterial small subunit ribosomal RNA
Source: RNAcentral
AGUGAACGCUGGCGGUAGGCCUAACACAUGCAAGUCGAACGGCAGCACAGUAAGAGCUUGCUCUUACGGGUGGCGAGUGGCGGACGGGUGAGGAAUACAUCGGAAUCUACUUUUUCGUGGGGGAUAACGUAGGGAAACUUACGCUAAUACCGCAUACGACCUACGGGUGAAAGCAGGGGAUCUUCGGACCUUGCGCGAUUGAAUGAGCCGAUGUCGGAUUAGCUAGUUGGCGGGGUAAAGGCCCACCAAGGCGACGAUCCGUAGCUGGUCUGAGAGGAUGAUAAGCCACACUGGAACUGAGACACGGACCAUACUCCUACGGGAGGCAGCAGUGGGGAAUAUUGGACAAUGGGCGCAAGCCUGAUCCAGCCAUACCGCGUGGGUGAAGAAGGCCUUCGGGUUGUAAAGCCCUUUUGUUGGGAAAGAAAAGCAUCAGGUUAAUACCCCGCUGUUCUGACGGUACCCAAAGAAUAAGCACCGGCUAACUUCGUG